Molecule: unclassified non-coding RNA, 1260 nt
Filed under: Acromyrmex echinatior (Panamanian leafcutter ant)
Lineage: Eukaryota; Metazoa; Arthropoda; Insecta; Hymenoptera; Formicidae
Description: cysteine protease ATG4B, transcript variant X2
Source: RNAcentral
UGGAGCAGUUCCAUUCAUGCUCCAAUGUUUAGUGACACGAAUGGAUUUAAGAAAAGUGAGCAUGUCACCUAAUCUAAUCCAUGAAACCACUCGAGCGGAUCGGACAUGUGCCUCCUUUCGUUUCAGGUAUUAAUUAUAAAAACAGUAAUAAUGGAUACUCUAUUUACUCCAAAUGUUCCCGAUGAAGCAGAAGAUAUACCGCCAACGGAUGAGCCAGUUUGGAUCCUUGGCAGGAAGUAUAAUGCUAUAAAAGAACUCGAUGCAAUACGCAGGGAUAUACGAUCCAAACUAUGGUUUACUUAUCGCAAAGGAUUUGUUCCCAUUGGAGGCUGCAAUUCUACAUUUACAUCUGAUAAAGGUUGGGGUUGUAUGUUGAGAUGUGGACAAAUGGUUCUGGCCCAAGCCUUAAUUACAUUACAUUUAGGUAAAGAUUGGCAAUGGAUGCCAGAAACAAAGAAUAACACAUAUCUAAAAAUUUUAAGGCGUUUUGAGGAUAAAAGGGCUGCUGCUUUCUCUAUCCAUCAAAUCGCAUUGAUGGGUGCAUCUGAAGGAAAGGAAGUUGGACAAUGGUUUGGUCCUAAUACUAUUGCACAAGUAUUAAAAAAAUUAAUUGUAUAUGACGAAUGGAGCUCUCUCACUAUACAUGUUGCAUUAGAUAAUACGUUAAUAGUUAAUGAUAUUUUGAGACAAUGUAGAGUAGAAGGUGGUGUGACAGCAGAAGCAGACGGAGAAAUUCCCCUAAGAGCACCUAGCCAAUGGAAACCUUUGUUAUUAUUAAUCCCGCUGCGCCUUGGACUUAGCGAAAUUAAUCCUGUAUACAUUAAUGGACUUAAGACAUCAUUCAAGAUCUCACAAUCUCUUGGAGUAAUUGGAGGGAAACCAAAUCUUGCUCUGUAUUUUAUAGGCUGUGUGGGAGAUGAAGUGAUCUAUCUAGAUCCUCAUACCACUCAGAAAUCAGGUAGUAUUGAAGACAAGAUAAGCGAAGAAGAAAUUGAGAUGGAUAUUUCAUAUCACUGCAAAUCAGCUAGUCGUAUUCCUAUUACGGGCAUGGAUCCUUCUGUGGCACUUGUUAGUAUAUGAUUUGACUUUUAUUAUAAAAGUCAACAAGAGAUAAAAAUUUAAGAGUUGCUCUAUGAGACAGAAAGAGAAUGAGGGGAGGUGAUAGGGAGAGAAUAUUGUGCUUCUUCUGUGCUACAGAAAAGGAAUUUAAGUCUCUAUGUAAAUCAAUGCAAGAGGAAUUAAUUUUGCCCGAAAAACAGC